UGCUGUAGAGGAUCGUUACUCGGC
RNAcentral lists this small nuclear RNA (24 nucleotides) under Arabidopsis thaliana (thale cress). Its description in RNAcentral is "snRNA_17659". Lineage: Eukaryota; Viridiplantae; Streptophyta; Magnoliopsida; Brassicales; Brassicaceae. The record is from RNAcentral.